UUUCCGUAGGUGAACCUGCGGAAGGAUCAUUCAUAAUAAGUGUUUUAUGGGUCUUUUUUAAAUCCAUAUACACCUUGUGUGAAAUGUCAGGGUAGAUUUUUCUCUCGAGAGUAUCAGUCGAAUACAUCAACUAUAUCUCAACUCAUAGACUGAAAAAUAUUAAGAAUAAAACACAUCAAAAAACAACUUUCAACAACGGAUCUCUUGGCUCUC
This 213-nucleotide unclassified non-coding RNA is filed under the name plant metagenome. RNAcentral's name for it is "partial contains small subunit ribosomal RNA, internal transcribed spacer 1, and 5.8S ribosomal RNA". The record is from RNAcentral.